AAUGAACGUUGGCGGCGUGGAUUAGGCAUGCAAGUCGUGCGGAAAGGCUCCUUCGGGAGUACUCGAGCGGCGAAAGGGAGAGUAACGCGUGGAUAUUUACCCCCGGGACUGGGAUAGCGGCGGGAAACUGCCGGUAAUACCGGAUAAUGUCUCCGGACAAAAGGUGUGACUCCGCCUGGGGAUGAGUCCGCGUCCUAUUAGCCUGUUGGUGGGGUAAUGGCCUACCAAAGCUGAGAUGGGUACCGGGUGUGAGAGCAUGGCCCGGCUCACUGGGACUGAGACACUGCCCAGACACCUACGGGUGGCAG
This 308-nucleotide ribosomal RNA is filed under the name uncultured Planctomycetota bacterium. Its description in RNAcentral is "bacterial SSU rRNA". It matches the Rfam family "Bacterial small subunit ribosomal RNA", at positions 29 to 351 of the family's 1533-position model. Lineage: Bacteria; Pseudomonadati; Planctomycetota. The record is from RNAcentral.